AGAUACCCUGUACUUAUAAUAAAAAAUUUGGAAUAGUAUAAUAAUGAAUUUAACGGAUUUGGCGGAAGAUAGCCUUUAGAGGACCUGCCCUAAAACGAUGACCACGAAACCUUUACUUUACUUGUUAUAGUUUGUAUCCGCUGUUGCAGUCAGUUUUUUAGAAACUUUCUAUUUGAUAAAAUAAGUACUUCAGUAAAGGUCAGCUUAUGAAAAGAUAGAGGUGGGUUAAUUUAUAAGAUUAAAACGAUAAAGAUUUGAAAAAACUUUGAAGGUGGAUUUAAAUGUAAAGUUUAAAAAACUGAAAACAUUUCUUCCUAGAUUAGGAGG
This 327-nucleotide ribosomal RNA is filed under the name Trevathana dentata. Its description in RNAcentral is "partial 12S ribosomal RNA". The record is from RNAcentral. Lineage: Eukaryota; Metazoa; Arthropoda; Thecostraca; Balanomorpha; Pyrgomatidae.